RNAcentral lists this ribosomal RNA (429 nucleotides) under Chloroflexota bacterium. RNAcentral describes it as "Chloroflexi bacterium partial 16S ribosomal RNA". It matches the Rfam family "Bacterial small subunit ribosomal RNA", at positions 355 to 776 of the family's 1533-position model. The record is from RNAcentral. Lineage: Bacteria; Bacillati; Chloroflexota.
UGGGGAAUAUUGCACAAUGGGCGCAAGCCUGAUGCAGCCAUGCCGCGUGUGUGAAGAAGGCCUUCGGGUUGUAAAGCACUUUCAGCGGGGAGGAAGGCGGUGAGGUUAAUAACCUUGGCGAUUGACGUUACCCGCAGAAGAAGCACCGGCUAACUCCGUGCCAGCAGCCGCGGUAAUACGGAGGGUGCAAGCGUUAAUCGGAAUUACUGGGCGUAAAGCGCACGCAGGCGGUCUGUCAAGUCGGAUGUGAAAUCCCCGGGCUCAACCUGGGAACUGCAUUCGAAACUGGCAGGCUAGAGUCUUGUAGAGGGGGGUAGAAUUCCAGGUGUAGCGAUGAAAUGCGUAGAGAUCUGGAGGAAUACCGGUGGCGAAGGCGGCCCCCUGGACAAAGACUGACGCUCAGGUGCGAAAGCGUGGGGAGCAAACAGG